CAAGAGGAAAAGAUCUGUCUAGAAAGAUGUCUCUCUUUUUAUUUGCAAACAGAAUGGCUCACCAGUUUCUGAAUUUGUAUACUACAUGUCGGGCAAAAUGCCUGUUUUCUUUUCUUUCUUCUCUCUCUCUCUCUCUCUCUCUCUCUCUCUCUCUCUCUCUCUCUCUCUCUCGAUUGACUUAUUACAAGAUUGUCUUUCUGAGAUAUCUCUAAUGACUUUUUUAAAAGAAAAAAAAAUAGAUCAACAUCCUAUCUUCUGGGUCCAUGAAGAAUGACAUUUCCAAUCACUUUUCCCUAGAUGCACUGACCAUUUAAAUUUUUUAAUAGGGAGGAAAAGGAUUGGUGUUUUUCAAAAACAACAAACAAAACAGAUGUUGGAAAGAGCAUUAUGAGAUGAAAUUUAAUGUAGUAAACUUCAGAACCAAGUAAUAUUAACUAACCGAGCUUCAAAGAUGCAACUAUAUUCUUUAAAGUACUGGUCCUAUGGGAAUUCUAUUCAGCUCUCCACGACUGAUCUCAUCCAUGGUGACUACAGGGCCUUCUCUACUUCCUGGGUACCCUGGCUGAGAUGAAGACGGGACUCUUCAUCCUGCUCCUGUUCCAGUCUCAAUGGCUAAUGGGAGCUACUUCAGUCUUUGUUAUCAGUUCAUCUACUUGUUGAAUGGAUGGAUGUAUUCAUCCCAAAAAUCUCUGGAAGGAUUUACCUCCGUUACACAUAUGGAGAGAUUGGCUCAGUGAUGUCCUGGGUCAUGCAGCUAGGACGUGAAAGGAGUGGGAUGCAAGGCUGGUUAACACAUCUGCCUCCCCCACGCAGGUUCAGCUGUGGGCAUUCCUGCACCAGCUGCAUCACACGUGUAUAUUCACAAAUGGAAAUCCCAUCCUCCCUUGGCCCCUGAUUGAUAACAAGUAGACAUCCAUCCUGGACUGGGGCAAAGGUUGCUUAGCUUGAGCUUUGUGAUACAGAAUCUUACUCUGUAUCCCCAGCCCUGGAACUCACUGUGCAGUGAGUAUGCAAUUCACAGUAAUCCUCCUGCCUCAGCUUCGAGUGUUGGAAUUUAACAUAGGAGCCACCAUACCUGGAUUUAAUUUUGUUUCAUAGAUGAAUAAACUAAGACUCAGUGGG
Molecule: long non-coding RNA, 1122 nt
Filed under: Mus pahari (shrew mouse)
Lineage: Eukaryota; Metazoa; Chordata; Mammalia; Rodentia; Muridae
Description: lncRNA (MGP_PahariEiJ_G0004477.1)
Source: RNAcentral